Molecule: ribosomal RNA, 427 nt
Filed under: uncultured Shewanella sp.
Lineage: Bacteria; Pseudomonadati; Pseudomonadota; Gammaproteobacteria; Alteromonadales; Shewanellaceae
Description: bacterial SSU rRNA
Rfam family: Bacterial small subunit ribosomal RNA
Source: RNAcentral
AGUGGGGAAUAUUGCACAAUGGGCGAAAGCCUGAUGCAGCCAUGCCGCGUGUGUGAAGAAGGCCUUCGGGUUGUAAAGCACUUUCAGCGAGGAGGAAAGGUUAACGGUUAAUACCCGUUAGCUGUGACGUUACUCGCAGAAGAAGCACCGGCUAACUUCGUGCCAGCAGCCGCGGUAAUACGAGGGGUGCAAGCGUUAAUCGGAAUUACUGGGCGUAAAGCGUACGCAGGCGGUUUGUUAAGCGAGAUGUGAAAGCCCCGGGCUCAACCUGGGAACUGCAUUUCGAACUGGCAAACUAGAGUCUUGUAGAGGGGGGUAGAAUUUCAGGUGUAGCGGUGAAAUGCGUAGAGAUCUGAAGGAAUACCGGUGGCGAAGGCGGCCCCCUGGACAAAGACUGACGCUCAGGUACGAAAGCGUGGGGAGCAAA